RNAcentral lists this long non-coding RNA (1386 nucleotides) under Mytilus galloprovincialis (Mediterranean mussel). Lineage: Eukaryota; Metazoa; Mollusca; Bivalvia; Mytilida; Mytilidae. The record is from RNAcentral.
CACGAAAAGAGUUUUAAUCAAAGCCUUAAAGGCUGUAAAAGCAAUUGCUGUCAUGUUAAUGUUUGGGGACUUUUAUUUUUCAUCCACAUAUAUAUAAUAAUUAAACCUGACAUGAGUGUUGUCUAGUUAGAAGCAAGAAGGUUUUAACUUUAUAUAAAUAAAAGACUUUAGCAGAAAGUCAUUUUUAAUAUGUUUUAUAUUUCACAAGGAGACAACACGUUUACCAGGCUAAAGUUGGGGUCAAAUAUACAUGUGCUGAAACAUAUAACUAAAAAAGAAAUCAUCAUGGAUUAUCCCCUGGUAGUGUUUGUAACUGGGCAAUAAUUUCCUUUAUUGAUUUAAUUUUAACAAUUUUCAUUAUUAAUUUAUAUUUAACCAUUAACACAAAUGAUUAAGUUAAAACAUUUCAACUUUCCAGACGCAAAUGUUAAAAAACGGGAAAGAAAUAAAAUAUCUUACAAGACAUAAACAUGUAAAGAAUAAAUAUAUAUUUCAGCUUAAUAAAAAUAUUUUCAUAAUGGUACUUUGUCAUCAUUUUUAAAACUAAGUUCCAAACAUUAUUGCUCAGUUGAUAUACAUGUAUGUCCUUCUGAUGCGGUACGAGCACAGGCACUUGUUUCUAUCCAAAAUAGUUUUAUAUGGAUAGCCGACCUUCCUAUGGAUAGAAACAAGUGCAUGUGGGUACGAGAUAACUAUAAUUCUCAUGCAAUCCCGAAAGGGGGGGGUCAUCACAGACAAACAUGACAUUAAAUCGUUAUCACUGAUGUAUUGUUUAGGGCCAGUUGAAGGACGCCUCCGGGUGCGGGAAUUUUUCGCUGCAUUGAAGACCUGUUGGUGACCUAGCUUCUGCUGUUGUAUGUUUUUCUAUGGUCGGGUUGUUGUCUCUUUGACACAUUCCCCAUUUCCAUUCUCAAUUUUAUUAUACGAACAAGAACAAACAGCUCUACGUUGCUUUGACAUUUAUCAAUUUUCAGGAAACAUUGCGAAAAAUGAUCUUCAAUAUUUCGAAAACAUGUGAAAUAAAAUUGCCAACACGGUGGACCGUCGAGUGUCAACAAACGUAGUAGACUUGUUCACUGAAAAGACGAGGAUAAUGGUUUUCAUCUGACAUUUUGUUAUGCAUUCCCAGUUUUGAUCAUGAUAUUUAAAAAGAAGUACUUUUUUCAAUCUAUGUAACUAGAAAAUUCCAAAUUGAAAUAUCUCUUCAUCUGGACCGACUUGGCAUCUACUACGUUUGGACGGGUCCAUUUCAUUAGUAAGGUGAUCGAUAAAUAUUACGGAGUUUGACAGAAAAGGAAAACGAACUUAUUGUUAUGUGUUUUCAACAAGGGUUUCGUUCCGCUAAAUUAUUUGCGCAAACAAAGUUUGUCUAUUUUUAGAUUACAG